RNAcentral lists this long non-coding RNA (536 nucleotides) under Monodelphis domestica (gray short-tailed opossum). RNAcentral describes it as "lncRNA (ENSMODG00000050569.1)". Lineage: Eukaryota; Metazoa; Chordata; Mammalia; Didelphimorphia; Didelphidae. The record is from RNAcentral.
CUGGGAUUCCUCCUGGACCUUCUUUUGUUUUUUUCUCUAUAUUAAAAAAAAUGCUUCAAUGAUCCUCUUUUCUUUUUUUAGAAACAAUAUUUCUAAAACUUCUCUUCUCCCACCUCCGUACGAACCUCAACAAUUCUUGUAACAAAUAAGCACAGUCAAGCGAAACAAACCACACAUUUGCCAUGUCAAGAAAUGUGUCUCUUUCUGCACCUUGAAUCCAUCAUCCCUCUUGUAGUAGGAGGUACUUGUUAGGCAUUUAUUUCUUUACCUGUACAAGAGGGACAAUAAUCUCACUGCAAGACAGUAAGUCACUGCCAAACCCCCAGGUGAAAGGUAAGUGCAUUUUAAAAAAUAUUGUUCUUUAUAUUUCCCCUUUAAACCUGUUUCUGUAUGUCUUAAAACUUAUUUAAAACUCAAAAGCUCAAAAAAAUGUUCAAUUUUUGUUAGUAUUUAAUGAGCUAUGGUAUACUGGAAAGAGCAUCAUCUCUAGAGUUAGAGGAUCUGGAUUAAAUUAUACCUCUGACCUUCUAUUAUCU